Molecule: long non-coding RNA, 430 nt
Organism: Phyllopteryx taeniolatus (common seadragon)
Lineage: Eukaryota; Metazoa; Chordata; Actinopteri; Syngnathiformes; Syngnathidae
Exons: 4
Source: RefSeq, a predicted model, not a curated record
UGCAAACUGGCCUUCCACACAAAGCACUCUGGGCAAACCCCCAUCAUGGGGGGUUGUGGUGAUCCAGUGAGCUGUAAAAUAGAGUUUCUGUCUGUUUGGAAAAAGGAACUCCAGGCUGGUGCGAUGGAGUCAGGUGGAGUCCAGGCUGGCCAGUGGUCGCUUCGAGUGGGGAAAAUUCCAGUCGACCAUCACAAAGCGCAGCAAUUGGAACGCAUUGUUCACUCUGCUGACAGGGAAACUGGCCUGAUUUACAGCGCUGCGGUGUCACUUUCCCACCAUCGGGAGGAGACGUAACACUGCUGGGGGUCACCAGCUCAUCUGUGAACAAGAAAACGAGUGAGGGACGAAAACUCCUCACCUCCUCUGCAGCCAAGGAUCUCAACACGCAGGUUGAACGUGUGUCUGAACUCCACGGGGAUGAUACGCAGGU